GUCUUCGCUUUGACAGCACUAGACUAAAAUUGUGAUGAUACAGAGAAGACCAGCAUGAUCUCUGUGCAAGGAUGACAUGCAGACUUGCGUCUCAUAUUUUU
This is a small nuclear RNA of Erinaceus europaeus (western European hedgehog), 101 nucleotides long. Lineage: Eukaryota; Metazoa; Chordata; Mammalia; Eulipotyphla; Erinaceidae. The record is from Ensembl.